Molecule: ribosomal RNA, 497 nt
Filed under: uncultured bacterium
Lineage: Bacteria
Description: partial 16S ribosomal RNA
Rfam family: Bacterial small subunit ribosomal RNA
Source: RNAcentral
GACGAACGCUGGCGGCGUGCCUAAUACAUGCAAGUCGAGCGCUGAAGGUUGGUGCUUGUACCAACUGGGUGAGCAGCGGACGGGUGAGUAACGCGUGGAGAAUCUGCCUUUGAGCGGGGGACAACUUCUGGAAACGAAUGCUAAUACCGCAUAAUAUCUUUAAACACAAGUUUUAAGAUUGAAAGAUGCAAUUGCUUCACCCAAAGAUGAUCCCGCGUUGUAUUAGGUAGUUGGUUAGGUAAAGGCUCACCAAGGCGAUGAAUCCGAGCCGACCUGAGAGGGGGAUCGGCCAAAUUGGGACUGGGACAACGCCCAAACCCCCAAGGGGGGCAGCAAGAGGGGAUCUUCGGGAAUGGACGGAAGGCUGGCCGAGGCAAGCCGGGGGAGGGAAGAAGGGUCUCGGAUCGGAAAAAUCUGUUGGUAGGGAAGAAAGUAGGGGGGAGUGAAAUGCGCAUCAAGUGACGGUAACUACUCAGAAAGGGACGGCUAACUACGUG